RNAcentral lists this ribosomal RNA (492 nucleotides) under uncultured bacterium. RNAcentral describes it as "partial 16S ribosomal RNA". It matches the Rfam family "Bacterial small subunit ribosomal RNA", at positions 29 to 507 of the family's 1533-position model. The record is from RNAcentral.
AGUGAAAGAGGGAGGGAGUAAUAACACAUGCAAGUCGAACGGCAGCACAGUAAGAGCUUGCUCUUACGGGUGGCGAGUGGCGGACGGGUGAGGAAUACAUCGGAAUCUACUUUUUCGUGGGGGAUAACGUAGGGAAACUUACGCUAAUACCGCAUACGACCUACGGGUGAAAGCAGGGGAUCUUCGGACCUUGCGCGAUUGAAUGAGCCGAUGUCGGAUUAGCUAGUUGGCGGGGUAAAGGCCCACCAAGGCGACGAUCCGUAGCUGGUCUGAGAGGAUGAUCAGCCACACUGGAACUGAGACACGGUCCAGACUCCUACGGGAGGCAGCAGUGGGGAAUAUUGGACAAUGGGCGCAAGCCUGAUCCAGCCAUACCGCGUGGGUGAAGAAGGCCUUCGGGUUGUAAAGCCCUUUUGUUGGGAAAGAAAAGCAGCAGGUUAAUACCCCGCUGUUCUGACGGUACCCAAAGAAUAAGCACCGGCUAACUUCGUG